UGACAUCUAGAUUGCGGCGAAGCUGGCAGCGGCUGGGACCCAGAGAGAAGGGAAAGAAGUGAAAUCUGGAGCGGAGGCUUUUCCAGGAGCUCAACCCAGAACAAGCGCUUUGGAGCCUCCAGACUCUGGAGACUUUUUCUCUUUGUCUCUUUUUCUUCUUCUUUUUCUUCGAAAUGUAGUUGUAUAUUUGAGAAAAGAAAAGCCUCAGCCUCACUAGUUGAUGAGAGAGGUUCUGUGCCGCUAAGGCUCCGUUUUGCAGAGCACCGCAUCGCGCCGCAGCUGCUUUUGCACAGCCGAACAUCAGCAACCGUUUCCCCGCUCCAAACCGCAGCCGCCCCGCUGCCUUGGUCCCGAAAUGUGCGACCUGAUGCCGGCCUCCCAGCCCGCUGAGAAGAUAGGCAAGAUGAAAAAGUUGAGGAGAACUUUGUCGGAGAGUUUCAGAAGUAUCGCUUUCAAGAAGGAAGACAGCGGCUUUGAUGAGGUAGGUUGAAAUCGUAGGAUUUUGGGGAGCGAGUGCCAUCCCUGGCCCCGUUUCAGGGCUGGGCUGUAGCGAUGUGUUUGCCUGAAAUGAUUUUUCAAGGUCUCGUUGGCCAGAUGUUGUCAUGAAGGACUGCAGUGCGGUUGAUUUUUUUCAGUUUCCUGUGGAUCCUGUGGGAACUUGGUGCAUAUGGUGUGUAAUAUAUUCAGCUCUCAUCUCAGAGACAUCCCCCUGGGUCAGUCACCAUCACAGGACUGCUUUGGCCUGCCAAGUGAGACACCAAACCAGACUGGCUCUGCUCUCAGGACUCAGAUGGAAAUGUAUUGUAUUAUUUUCCUUCAUGGGAACGCCUGAGUUUUCCCUGCUUGUUGUGUUUCAAACAAUUCAAUUAGCUCAGGAUCUUCUCUCUUGUUCAUAUUAGCUGUAUUUCCUUUACAAAUGUGCACAAAACUUUGUCAUUAUUCCGCUAAACUAAAAUGCAAACACAAUUUAGCAAUUGUGUUGUUUCCGUUAAAUACAAUUAACACAAUUAAAAUCACACAUGAAAAAAUUUGUCAUGAGUCAUUAACAAACAUGCUGUGCCAUAAUCCUCCUACUACUUUUCAUGGUUUGCGCCAGUGGAAACAUCUAGUUGAUCAAACCAAUAUUGAUAUGGCCAAAAAAAAAAAAAAAA
Molecule: long non-coding RNA, 1151 nt
Organism: Poecilia latipinna (sailfin molly)
Lineage: Eukaryota; Metazoa; Chordata; Actinopteri; Cyprinodontiformes; Poeciliidae
Exons: 2
Source: RefSeq, a predicted model, not a curated record